UGAGGAAUCUUCCGCAAUGGGCGAAAGCCUGACGGAGCAAUACCGCGUGGGGGAGUGAAGGACCCUAGGUUUGUAAACCCCUUUUCUCGGGAAAGAAGUUCUGACGGUACCCGAGGAACCAAGCAUCGGCUAACUCCGUGCCAGCAGCCGCGGUAAUACGGGGGAUGCAAGCGUUAUCCGGAAUUAUUGGGCGUAAAGGGUUGGAAGGUUGUCUAAAGUGGUUUUUAUCACGUAAAGUCUAUUGUUAAAUACCGGGGCUUAACUCCGGGCAAGCAAUAGAAACUACUAGGCUUGAGUAUGGCAGGGGUAGAGGGAAUUUCUAGUGGAGCGGUGAAAUGUGUCGAUAUUGG
Molecule: ribosomal RNA, 350 nt
Filed under: uncultured bacterium
Lineage: Bacteria
Description: bacterial SSU rRNA
Rfam family: Bacterial small subunit ribosomal RNA
Source: RNAcentral